UCGAACGGAGUUAUAUUAUAGCUUGCUAUGGUAUAACUUAGUGGCAGACGGGUGAGUAAUGUAUAGGAAUCUACCUAGUAGUACGGAAUAAUUGUUGGAAACGGCAACUAAUACCGUAUACGCCCUACGGGGGAAAAAUUUAUUGCUAUUAGAUGAGCCUAUAUUAGAUUAGCUAGUUGGUGGGGUAAUAGCCUACCAAGGCAAUGAUCUAUAGCUGAUCUGAGAGGAUGAUCAGCCACACUGGAACUGAGAUACGGUCCAGACUUCUACGGGAGGCAGCAGUGGGGAAUAUUGGACAAUGGGCGAAAGCCUGAUCCAGCCAUGUCGCAUGAGUGAAGAAGGCCUUUGGGUUGUAAAGCUCUUUUAGUGAGGAAGAUAAUGACGGUACUCACAGAAGAAGUCCUGGCUAACUCCGUGCCAGCAGCCGCGGUAAUACGGAGAGGGCUAGCGUUAUUCGGAAUUAUUGGGCGUAAAGGGCGCGUAGGCUGAUUAAUAAGUUAAAAGUGAAAUCCCGAGGCUUAACCUUGGAAUUGCUUUUAAAACUAUUGAUCUAGAGAUUGAAAGAGGAUAGAGGAAUUCCUGAUGUAGAGGUAAAAUUCGUAAAUAUUAGGAGGAACACCAGUGGCGAAGGCGUCUAUCUGGUUCAAAUCUGACGCUGAGGCGCGAAGGCGUGGGGAGCAAACAGGAUU
Molecule: ribosomal RNA, 689 nt
Filed under: uncultured Anaplasmataceae bacterium
Lineage: Bacteria; Pseudomonadati; Pseudomonadota; Alphaproteobacteria; Rickettsiales; Anaplasmataceae
Description: bacterial SSU rRNA
Rfam family: Bacterial small subunit ribosomal RNA
Source: RNAcentral